AGCUCAACUUUGUAAUCUGGCUCUUUCAGAGUCCGAGUUGUAGUCUCGAGAAGCAACAUCCGCAUCGGACCUUGGGUAUGUCUGUUGGAAAACAGCGUCGUAGAGGGUGACAAUCCCGUUUGUACCAAGGACGACCGCGUGCAUUGUGGUGUGCUUUCCAAGAGUCGAGUUGUUUGGGAAUGCAGCUCAAAUUGGGUGGUAAAUUCCAUCUAAAGCUAAAUAUUGGCGAGAGACCGAUAGCGAACAAGUACCGUGAGGGAAAGAUGAAAAGCACUUUGGAAAGAGAAUGAAACAGUAUGUGAAAUUGCUGGAAGGGAAACGAUUGAAGUUAGACUUGCGUGGGCCCCACUCAGCCUUUUUGGUGUACUUGGGGCCCGUUGCAGGCCAGCAUCGGUUUGCUUCGCGGAAUAAGGGUGCGCGGGAUGUGGCUUCUUUUGAAGUGUUAUAAACGCGCACUGGAUGCCGAGUCGCAGACCGAGGAACGCAGCGUGUUUGUAGUGCCUGCCCGUACA
RNAcentral lists this ribosomal RNA (512 nucleotides) under Ballistosporomyces xanthus. RNAcentral describes it as "LSU rRNA". It matches the Rfam family "Eukaryotic large subunit ribosomal RNA", at positions 106 to 585 of the family's 3401-position model. Lineage: Eukaryota; Fungi; Basidiomycota; Agaricostilbomycetes; Agaricostilbales; Chionosphaeraceae. The record is from RNAcentral.